Long non-coding RNA from Canis lupus familiaris (dog), 638 nucleotides. RefSeq lists it as uncharacterized. The record is from RefSeq and is a predicted model, not a curated record. The transcript is spliced from 3 exons. Lineage: Eukaryota; Metazoa; Chordata; Mammalia; Carnivora; Canidae.
UGAAAGCUGCAAGCAUAUGAUUAUGAGAUGGUGGUUCUCGACAUUUACCACAACCUCCCUGCUAAACCGCACAGCAGCCAACUCUCAAGAUUUCCUCUGGGGUAGAGGGAUUUUUCUCCCCACAUGCAGUCCAGCUCCAUGGGAAAACAUUAGCAGUGACAAAUGACUCUCCGAACCAAUGCUCGAAUCUGAGGCACUGGGGUGAAGGAAAGAUUUAUGUGGACCAGCUGAUGGGGAAGGAAGACUUCCCUAAAGAGGCUCCCAUCUCUGACCUACUGACACCUGCUGCCUACGUAUGGUAUCUUUGCAAUAACUUCCUCGAGCCACUCUCUCAUUUUCUUCGAGCCACUCUGCAUUUUUUUCUGGGUAAAGAAAUCACUAAACUGACAUAUUUUCCUUAUUCACAAGGUAUGUAUGUAUGUAUGUAUGUAUGUAUGUAUGUAUGUAUUUAUUUAUUUAUUUAUUUAUUUAUUUAUUUAUUUUUACCACGUUUGUAGAUUUGUAUAACGUUCUCCUCAGCUUUCUUAAGUCUUUUGUAAAAGGGAGGAAGUUGAAGAGUUUCCUAUCAGGGGCGCCUGGGUGGCUCCGCUGGUUAAGUGGCUCAGGUCAUGAUCUCAGGGUCCUGGCAUCGAGCCUCA